Molecule: ribosomal RNA, 490 nt
Filed under: uncultured bacterium
Lineage: Bacteria
Description: partial 16S ribosomal RNA
Rfam family: Bacterial small subunit ribosomal RNA
Source: RNAcentral
GAUGAACGCUAGCUACAGGCUUAACACAUGCAAGUCGAGGGGAAACGCUGAGAGAGCUUGCCCUCUUAGGCGUCGACCGGCGCACGGGUGAGUAACGCGUAUCCAACCUACCCAUUACAGGGGGAUAACCUUGCGAAAGUAAGACUAAUACCCCAUGGCAUUUUAUGGUGGCAUCAUUAUAGGAUUAAAGAUUUAUUGGUAAUGGAUGGGGAUGCGUCUGAUUAGCUUGUUGGCGGGGUAACGGCCCACCAAGGCAACGAUCAGUAGGGGUUCUGAGAGGAAGGUCCCCCACAUUGGAACUGAGACACGGUCCAAACUCCUACGGGAGGCAGCAGUGAGGAAUAUUGGUCAAUGGGCGAGAGCUUGAACCAGCCAAGUAGCGUGCAGGAUGACGGCCCUAUGGGUUGUAAACUGCUUUUAUAGGGGAAUAAAGUGAGCUACGUGUAGUUUAUUGCAUGUACCCUAUGAAUAAGGACCGGCUAAUUCCGUG